RNAcentral lists this ribosomal RNA (756 nucleotides) under uncultured bacterium. Its description in RNAcentral is "bacterial SSU rRNA". It matches the Rfam family "Bacterial small subunit ribosomal RNA", at positions 8 to 796 of the family's 1533-position model. The record is from RNAcentral.
AGAGUUUGAUCAUGGCUCAGAAUCAACGCUGGCGGCGUGCCUAACACAUGCAAGUCGCACGAGAAAGUGGAGCAAUCCAUGAGUACAGUGGCGCACGGGUGAGUAACACGUGACUAACCUACCCUCGAGUGUGGAAUAACUGAGAGAAAUCUUAGCUAAUACCGCAUAAUACCUACGGGUCAAAGCAGCAAUGCGCUUGAGGAGGGGGUCGCGGCAGAUUAGUUAGUUGGCGGGGUAAUGGCCCACCAAGACGAUGAUCUGUAUCCGGCCUGAGAGGGCGCACGGACACACUGGAACUGAAACACGGUCCAGACUCCUACGGGAGGCAGCAGUGGGGAAUUUUGCGCAAUGGGGGAAACCCUGACGCAGCAACGCCGCGUGGAGGAUGAAAUCCCUUGGGAUGUAAACUCCUUUCGAUAGGGAAGAUAAUGACGGUACCUAUAGAAGAAGCCCCGGCUAACUUCGUGCCAGCAGCCGCGGUAAUACGAGGGGGGCAAGCGUUGUUCGGAAUUAUUGGGCGUAAAGGGUGCGUAGGCGGUUUGACAAGUCUUGUGUGAAAUCUAUGGGCUCAACCCAUAGUCUGCACGGGAAACUGUCGGGCUUGAGUAUUGGAGAGGUGAGUGGAAUUUCCGGUGUAGCGGUGAAAUGCGUAGAUAUCGGAAGGAACACCUGUGGCGAAAGCGGCUCACUGGACAAUAACUGACGCUGAUGCACGAAAGCUAGGGGAGCAAACAGGAUUAGAUACCCCCGUAGUCC